Molecule: ribosomal RNA, 274 nt
Filed under: uncultured bacterium
Lineage: Bacteria
Description: partial 16S ribosomal RNA
Rfam family: Bacterial small subunit ribosomal RNA
Source: RNAcentral
AUACGGAGGGUCCAAGCGUUAUCCGGAAUCAUUGGGUUUAAAGGGUCCGCAGGCGGUCAAUUAAGUCAGAGGUGAAAGCCCAUCGCUCAACGAUGGAACUGCCUUUGAUACUGGUUGACUUGAGUUAUACGGAAGUAGAUAGAAUAAGUAGUGUAGCGGUGAAAUGCAUAGAUAUUACUUAGAAUACCGAUUGCGAAGGCAGUCUACUACGUAUAUACUGACGCUGAGGGACGAAAGCGUGGGGAGCGAACCGGAUUAGAAACCCCAGUAGUCC